RNAcentral lists this transfer RNA (76 nucleotides) under Hoylesella enoeca. RNAcentral describes it as "Prevotella enoeca tRNA-Lys". It matches the Rfam family "tRNA". From Rfam's summary of the family: Transfer RNA (tRNA) molecules are approximately 80 nucleotides in length. Lineage: Bacteria; Pseudomonadati; Bacteroidota; Bacteroidia; Bacteroidales; Prevotellaceae. The record is from RNAcentral.
AGAUUUUUAGCUCAACUGGUAGAGCAACUGAUUCUUAAUCAGUGGGUCUAGGGUUCGAAUCUCUAAGGGUGUACAA